Long non-coding RNA from Coturnix japonica (Japanese quail), 2864 nucleotides. RefSeq lists it as uncharacterized. The record is from RefSeq and is a predicted model, not a curated record. NCBI's taxonomy places the organism in Eukaryota, Metazoa, Chordata, Aves, Galliformes, Phasianidae.
UUUCAUACAAAUUAAUGGAAAUGGUACAGAAUAACAGAAUUGUCUGACAAGUUCAUAAAUAUUUUUACAGAAACAUCUACACCGCUGCUCCACUUCAGCCCUUCUUACACAGAGGACACAUUUGACUAUGAGUGCCUUGGUACAACGCUCCCAUGUUUGAUACAUAUACAACUUCCUAUUCCAAAGCUGAAAAUGGUCAAGCAUUGAUGAAAACACUGUACAGAAUUCCUAUCCUGAGUGAAGACAUUGCGUGGAGAAGGCUUCUACUUAAUGGUGGAUGACUGGAGGUCAUGGGAUUCAGUCUGUUCCAUGUUCGCUUGGUGAGUUCUGCUGGCUGCUGCUGUCACUGCUGCCAGACUGGCGACGACAUCUCCUGCCUUUUAUCAGGACGCUCCGAUAGACCUGCAGGGAAAUGAGAGCAUAACAAGCCUGAAAGAAGAUGGACACGUUUAAGCAGCUGCUGGCCACAGAUGUCAAUCUGCUUGCCAGCUAGUGACAGCCGUACUGUUCAUCUACCCUGACAGCGAGGAAGCCCUGUGCAGGAACACAGCUCUUCAGGUAUGCAUCUGAUCAGACAAAACAUGUUAUCUUUGAAGCUAAAUAUUCUCUUAUUAAUAUUAGCAAUAAGGAGAUAUUUUAAUAUCACAGGAGAGCUACCAAAGAUAUUAAAAUAUCACAGAAGAGCUACCAAAAUACAAACUAAACAAAGCACGAAUUAGGCUGAAAAGUACCUUUCUAAAGAAGAGGGAAAGCGAGCCCAUCUUCCGGGACCGAGCAGCUGUGGCAGCAGUGAGGGGCUGGGCUGGCCUUGGCUCUCCAGAGGUGAUGUGCUGAACAGUGACCUGUCCUGGGAGCUGCAGCGCUGCCCCCGACAUCUGAGUGCUCAGGGGGCCCGUGAGAGCCUGGGCGCUGAGGGGCUGAAUGGAGCCAGAGACUGCCUGCGGCUGGGCCCCAACAUUGACCUGCACUGGGAAGAAAGUUAUUCCUCCAUUUUCAUUGGCGAUACCUGUAAUUUAAGAAAAGAGUCUGACAUAAGAGCGAGUUGUAGGGGGUUGUUUAGUGUGGAUGGUGUUUCCUGUUACAGCUUUUUCUUAAUAAUUCAGUGUACCUUACAUUAAUUGAUUAUAAUUUGUAGUAUAUUAUAGAUAAGGAAACAAGAAGAUAACGGAAUUGAACUAAUCUUUAAUUAUAACGUCACUUUCUUCCAGCUGAGGAAGCAAAGCUCACUGAAAAAGUUGUUGUAUUAACAGAGUCACUGAGCAUCUUUGUGCCGUCUCUAAAUUCUGCUCAUCUAUUCAUACCUUCUUAAGCCUGCUUUCCUGCUCUGGGCGUGCUGUUUUCCCCCACAUCCCCUUACUGGAUAUUGGACAGAAAUCAGCCUGAUCUGACAGCAGCUUUUCUCUUACCUUGUACAGGUAUGGUCACAGUUUGCCCAUUAUUGGCUGUCACGGUGGCAGUUGCUACUGUAACCAAUGUCUGGCCAGGCACUGGAGUUACUGACACGGUGUCAGGGUUCACAUUCUGCACAGGCACCGUAUUUACCACGGGCUGCUGGGCAACUCUGACUGGAGUUGAGGUGUCAGAGGGAUUAUCGUUAUCGACAAACAGCCUCCUCCUCGUAGGAUGCGCUGUAGGAGAGCUGUAUCUGUCAUACAGGGUUGUAGGGGAAGAUGAAAUGCCUGUGGGUUUAAAAAACAAAAAGAAAACAAUCUUGUUGUAAAAUCCCUUAUUAUACAAAUAGAUAAAAAAGAAAUCUGAUGAGACCCCAAAGAUGACAACUGGAAGCAUUUAAAAUUAAUGUCUACAUCUGUGGCUCACAGAUUAUGAGAUUAUUUGAUCUCAUGUAACAUGGCACUGAGUAGCUUUUUCUCAGCAAAUGCGUUAUGCUUUAGUUCCUCUGUAAAAAAAAAUCUGAAGCCUCACAGAGCUGAACAUACACUGGAGCUUCUAAUCUGGUGUAACAAACCAAGCUGCUGAGCAGAGCUGAUGUAUUUAUACAUGUACAUGUGUGUACACAGAUGGUGUUAAUAGACACAAACUCCUGAAACCACUGACACGGGACUGUUCUGAUCUGAAAUAAGGAAGGUUUCAGUCUUAGACAUCUGACUUAACUAUGCAGGUUACAACAGAAAUAGCAUUUACAGGUGCCUGAUUGUACAGUAACCACUAGAGCAGCUUCCUUCCUGUAUGCCAUUUAGAUUGUAAAUUCAGGUCACAGUGUAGGAGUGAUCAAUACGUUGUGCUUGAAAAAUAGCUCACCUUUUCCCAGGCCUCCACUUUCAGCUCGGACCUCAUUUAGUCGUCUUGGUGUCAAUGGAGAACUGACAACACUGCUGGCAGCAGAUCUCUCGAAGUACUGAGGUGGCAUGACCUAAAAUAGUUGUACUUUUAUCAGUGCAGCUGUAGCACAAAUUCAAUGCACAGCUGAUUUUUAGAACUUCUAGUCUAAACAUGUUGAACAGUGAAACUAUACAGAAGAAAAAUGAAGAACACUGAAAAAAUACUGUAACCUUAAACUAAAAACUGUGUAAGUCUGGGCAUGCGAAGCCUCUCCUGCAAGAGCUGAUGUCCACCCUCCACCAUUCUGCUGAACAGGAGCCCCACGUGAGCCAUGUUACACAAUACAGAGCAGCGCUCACCUCUUCACAGCUCGGAACUUUGUUGUCGUUAUCUCUGAUUCUGUCCCACAGGAUGGACUCCUGUUUCCAGGCCAUGCUUUCCAAGAUCUGUUCUUCAAUAUGAUUAAGGUGUUUCACAACUUCCCGACAAAGGCCAUCUUCUGCUCUAAUGAAAACCUCAAUUACCUGUAAAGCAGACAAGGAUGAAGUCCAUGUAAUACUGAAUAAAUCAGUGACUGAGUAUAA